UUCCUCCUCUGCCUGCGCCGUACCUCGUUCCGCCCACUGUGGCGCGCCUAAAUCGCCGAGCCGUGCAUGUCUCGGACCGCUCCCGCAGCUGUCUGCGACUUUUUUUUAUAUCCCUAGCUCGUCCGCUCCCCCCUUCCGGGGCUUCGCCCCUGCGUCUGCAACUACUGUUUCCAGAAAGUAGGGGCUCAAAAAGGAUGGCGGAGCAUAUCGCGGCCGCAGGGGCUUCUCAGAGGGUCCCCGUUGUGAUGAUAUGACGACCUUAAUGGCGAAUUGAUUGCCGUCGCCGCCUCCUCCCCGGUUCCUACUCUGUUCUCCUUCCGCGCGCGGAAGCUUGAAGGGUGGGGCUUGCCCUGGCGGCGGAUGCAGACGACGCGAAGGUCCCUUUCGACGCUGCGGCGCUACUCAGAUUUAUUUUUGCCCGUCUCCUCCCCCACCGCCCGCUCAGUGCCAGGGGAAGGGGGGAGACAGUGGCAGGAAAAGCUGCUCUCCCCCGUCGGGCAGAUAAGCUGCCUUUAAGGCUCUCUCCACACCUGACGUGAGUUAAUGGCGGAGAGGAGGGCGCUUCCGUCUUCGUCUCACUUCUUCGUCCUCUACCAGAGAUAGAAAAAGUACGCGUCCUCCUCUGUAGAAUUCCGAGCUCGGUCGCUUCACCUGCGUGGUCUGCAGUGGACAAAGAUGGAGAUCGGAGCGCGAUUGAGGGAGAGAAGAGACCGGGAAGCAGGUGGGAAAUUGAACCUGCGGGAGGGCCUGUGAACGAUCGGGCCGAAUCACCAACAGGAUUCACCGUCACAAACCCCCACUUCCCCUGAUGAACAGUCUCCAUUCGCAGGGACGCCGGCGAGGCUCUUCUGCUCGUGAUCAGCGCCGGUAGGGUAACCCUGUCGAUUCUCUGAACUCCUCUGGACCACCACUUCCUCCUCCUCCUCCUCCUCCUCUCUCUAGGGCCGCCGCCGCCGCUGGUCCCCCGCUGCAGAGAGGGACUGCGGCGGCGCUUUCGGC
Molecule: long non-coding RNA, 999 nt
Filed under: Spirodela polyrhiza (greater duckweed)
Lineage: Eukaryota; Viridiplantae; Streptophyta; Magnoliopsida; Alismatales; Araceae
Description: long non-coding RNA (SPOL_LNC000661)
Source: RNAcentral